AAUCACUCUCUCUCUCUCUCUCUCUGCUAAGUAUAAAAAUCCUGCUGUCACCUGAAGAGGGUCAAGGACACACCUGGCUGCAGGAGGCUUCUUCUCUCUCUCUCCACCUCAGGCUCCCACUCCGGCUUGUCUCCCAGGCUCUCUGGACUCCUGGACUCCGGGCAGGGCCUAAAGUAGUCUCAGGGAGGUGGCAAUCACUGUGAUGUCACUGAUGAAACAUCUCAAAGGAACAACCUCCAAAGGCCCUUACCUGUCCACCACUCCCACUGAGGACCAACACAAGCAGAGACAUCCCUGCCGAUUCGGCUCUGGACAACGGCGCUUCCCAAGCGCCACGGUGGCUUGCCUUGUCUUGUGCCUACAAGACACCUGUCCUCUGCAGCUUCCUCUGCUGGGUACCAUAGAUUUUGACCACCGUGGUCCCAGAGGUGCGCUCACUUUGGAGCAAGAUGAUGAGGGGCGGUGGGGCAGUGCGCCUUCCGUGUGUGAUGCCCGUUGAGGAACACGAAGGAAGACCCCCUUGCUCUCGCGCCCAUGUCUUCCCAGACACGAGUUCAUGGGGAAGCCCAGCAGGGUCUACGUAGAAGUCAUAGGCAUCUUCUUAUCUCAGACCUCCCCUUCCACCACUAACACUUGAUACUCAACUUUCCCUUUCUUAGCACAGGUGGUCUCUCGGCAGGCGGCUAAGUUCCCAGAGCAAACCAACCUCUCCCGGGUCUGCUCCAUCAGGGCGCACGACGCGCGCAGACAGGUGUUGGAAUGCAGCCCCCGACACCGCUCAGGCUCCCGCCCGGGCCCCAGCACACCAGCACCCCUGCACAGACCGCACAACGCACGGCACUUCCCACCAAAUACCCCUCCGUGGAGGCCAGAGCAGAAAUUGGCUUCUAGCGCUCCAGACAGAAAGCACACUAUUUUGUGUGUCACUGCUUUCCGGUAACUCCCGGAUGAAGUUCAAAAUCGUCAGCUGCAGACACAGGAGCCUACCAUGAUCUCGCUUCUACGCUCCCUGCCCUCCGGUGCAGCAAUCCCAAACGCAGGGGCCUUCGCACGCUCUCUCCGCAUAUGCGAAUGCCAUUCCCUCUGAUUGAGCAGCCUUUCUCCCACCCCUCCACAUGCCUCACUUCUGAUGAUGAACAACGGUACCGGAAUCAAAUCACACGUCACAUUCCCUGGUCUUUAAGGCCGGGAUCCACGUAGCUCUGCACGCUACUAACUCCACCCUACUGUCAGCGCGGACCUUCUUAUCCAUCUCCCCGACUUAAGGACAGGGAUCGGGAUUGGGUCUCACCCUGUAGACACAGUGCCAAGUCAGGUAGUAUAAAGAACGUAACGGGCCACCCCAUAGAAGUUUGCUGAAUAAAAAUAUGUCUGAAUGCAAAAAUGAUUGCUUGGUUAAUAGCUGUUCAACUCUGAAGACUCAUGGGCCAAUGAAUGGUUUAAAAAAAAAGUCUCAGGCGCCUAGGUGGUACGCUGUUAAGUGUGGGAUGCUUGCUCAUACCCUCAGGUCGUGAGAUCAAGUCCCGAAUGGGGCUCCCUGCUCAGCCUGGCGUCUCCUUAAGACUCUCUCCCUCUCCCUCUGCCCCUCCUCCUGCUCACACACAUUCUCUCUCUCCAAAAUAAAUAAAUCCUUUUAAACAAUAAAAUAAUAAAAAUAAAUAAAUAAAACUCUCUAACCUUUCAACAAUCUACAUGAGGAUGAUGUUCACAGGACCUGGAGUAAUUUAAACUACUCAGGAUUUCUUCAUCUAAAAAUAGUACAUUCUAGGCUUCUUACCACUGACCAGGUCUGACAGCUGUUUUUUAGGUUGGUACUUAAUAUGCUUUAAAGAAUGAUUUUUCUCUCUAUUGAAGCUGAGAGGCAACAUAAUUUGUUGUUGGUUUUUUAGAAGGAAAUUUUAAAAUUGAGAAAUAUAAAAAAUAAUUCAAAUGUGCCUACCACACAAAAUUCAUAAUUCUUAAUAUCUUUGUCAUAUUGUUUCAUGUCUUUUAUAAAUAAGGGAAUUAAAAUAUGAUUGAUAAAGCUGAGGUCUCAUUGAACCAUUAAUGCUAUGCUCUGUCCCAUCUCCCCAGAUAAAACAGCUGCUAUGAGUUUGGGGCACAGUCCGAGUUCUAUAAUUAAACCUCUUAGAUUCAGCAUCUAGAUUAUGCUGGCCUGAUAAGUAGGUUUCCCUCCUCUCUUUCUUCUCUGAAACAGUUUGUAUAAAACAGGCAUUAUCUUUUUUUCUUUUUAAGAUUUGUAACUAUUGGUUCCUAAACUAUAUGGUCCUGGUGACCUUUUGGAGUAUGAGAGGACAUUUUUGACUACUGACUUCACCAUUUUUUAUGUUUAUAGGUCCCACUUAAUAGGUUUUCUGUUUAUUCUCAAGUCGAUUCUGGAAGUUUACUAUAUUACUAGAAAAUUGUCCAUUUAAUAUUUGUGUAACUUUUCAAAGUAUCAAAUUUUAUGUUUUCAUUUAUUUUCUCUCAGUACUUUGAAGCAAUAACUGCAUUGUCUUCUGGCUUCUAUUGCUAUGACUGAGGAGUCUGCUACUGGUCUGGUUGAUAUAUCAUUCUUUCUCUAUAGUGAUUUCUAAGAUUUUUAGUUAUUUUUUAAUGUCCUGCAUCCCUACCAUAUAUCUCAAAUUGUCCUUCAUUUCUCACAUCCUUUUUCUUUGCAUCUUGGAAGAUUCCUUUUGUUCUAGCUUUCAAUUCAUUAUCCCUCUCUUUGGCUCUAUCAAAACUACUAUUUAGCCCAUCCUUUAUAUUUUUAAAUUUUGUGACUAUAUUUUAUUUCCAAGAUUUCCCAGAGGUUAAUUUUCAUGUUUGACUCUUCUGCUCUCAAAAACUCCUAAUCUUGUUUUAUGGAUGAUAAUUCUGCCUUUUGGUAAUAUUUUUGGACAGUUUUAAACUUUAAGUCCUUUCCAAAUUAUUCUGUUAGUGUUCUUUCUUUAGUUAUAAAUUUUCUUAUUAUGGAUUUACAACUAUUUCUCAUGACGCUGAGUAUCUUCAUGUUUGUAGGACACAGGUGAUUUUGGGGGCAAAGGAAAUAGCCCUCGUCCCCCAUAUUGAAGAAGAGAACUGCAUCUCCAUCCUCUCAUGAGCAGGAUGGGUUUAGUGCUUGAUCUCAUGAAGGCAAUGAAGCCAUUGCCCUGCCUUCAGUCCCAGCUUCCAAAGUACCAGGAGCCUUCAGGCCCUGCUUACCUACGUAGUUUCCCUCUCCAUGUUUGUCCAUAGCAAUUUUUCCAAUUGUUUUUUAAUGUGAUUGUGAUCUUUCUAUUAAGUCAUUUAGCUUCUCUCGGCCUUGAUUUCUUCAUCUAUAAAACAGAGAUUGGACAGAAUAAUCUCUCAACUCACAGCUUCUACAAUUCCAUACAAUUUUAGGGUGAUAAGAAUAUUAUAAAUGAGGUUAAUUAUAAAGAAGAGAGAACAAAAUUUCCCCCCCCCAUUUAUUCCCCAUUACAUAGUUUUAUUACUGAAUUUAAUUUUUUUUUAGUAAAACAUAAAAAGUAUUUGGACAUGAUUAAAGGAAGAAGUAAAAAAAAUCCUUCCCCUCCCUCUUCCCCCU
Ursus thibetanus thibetanus is the source of this 3547-nucleotide long non-coding RNA. The record is from Ensembl. Lineage: Eukaryota; Metazoa; Chordata; Mammalia; Carnivora; Ursidae.